UUUGGGUGGAAUAUAUGCGUGUUCGAAGAAAGAGCGCCAGGGCGCUUUGGGGGUCCGUCUCAAGUGUUUGCUGAGUUGAUUUGCGAAGAUACUAAUCGACGCAGACACGAAAAAGGAUUACCUCAUUUGUACAUAAAUCGUCGG
Caenorhabditis elegans is the source of this 144-nucleotide non-coding RNA. Lineage: Eukaryota; Metazoa; Nematoda; Chromadorea; Rhabditida; Rhabditidae. The record is from Ensembl.